RNAcentral lists this ribosomal RNA (253 nucleotides) under uncultured bacterium. RNAcentral describes it as "partial 16S ribosomal RNA". It matches the Rfam family "Bacterial small subunit ribosomal RNA", at positions 524 to 776 of the family's 1533-position model. The record is from RNAcentral.
UACAGAGGGUGCGAGCGUUAAUCGGAAUUACUGGGCGUAAAGCGUGCGUAGGUGGUUUUUUAAGCUGGAUGUGAAAGCCCCGGGCUUAACCUGGGAACUGCAUUAAGGACUGGGAAACUUGAGUCUGGGAGAGGGUGGUGGAAUUUCCGGUGUAGCGGUGAAAUGCGUAGAUAUCGGAAGGAACAUCAGUGGCGAAGGCGACCGCCUGGCCUAAGACUGACACUGAGGCACGAAAGCGUGGGGAGCAAACAGG